GGGCCGGUAGCUCAGUCUGGCAGAGCACUAGGCUCUUAACCUAGCCGUCGCGGGUUCAAAUCCCGUCUGGCCCA
This 74-nucleotide transfer RNA is filed under the name Nanohaloarchaea archaeon SW_10_44_10. RNAcentral describes it as "tRNA-Lys". It matches the Rfam family "tRNA". Rfam says of the family: Transfer RNA (tRNA) molecules are approximately 80 nucleotides in length. Their secondary structure includes four short double-helical elements and three loops (D, anti-codon, and T loops). RNAcentral also lists the same sequence under 2 other names. Lineage: Archaea; Methanobacteriati; Methanobacteriota; Candidatus Nanohaloarchaea. The record is from RNAcentral.